RNAcentral lists this ribosomal RNA (484 nucleotides) under uncultured bacterium. RNAcentral describes it as "partial 16S ribosomal RNA". It matches the Rfam family "Bacterial small subunit ribosomal RNA", at positions 30 to 507 of the family's 1533-position model. The record is from RNAcentral.
AUUGAACGCUGGCGGCAGGCCUAACACAUGCAAGUCGAGCGGAUGAAGGGAGCUUGCUCCUGGAUUCAGCGGCGGACGGGUGAGUAAUGCCUAGGAAUCUGCCUGGUAGUGGGGGAUAACGUCCGGAAACGGGCGCUAAUACCGCAUACGUCCUGAGGGAGAAAGUGGGGGAUCUUCGGACCUCACGCUAUCAGAUGAGCCUAGGUCGGAUUAGCUAGUUGGUGGGGUAAAGGCCUACCAAGGCUACGAUCCGUAACUGGUCUGAGAGGAUGAUCAGUCACAAUGGAACUGAGACACGGUCCAGACUCCUACGGGAGGCAGCAGUGGGGAAUAUUGGACAAUGGGCGAAAGCCUGAUCCAGCCAUGCCGCGUGUGUGAAGAAGGUCUUCGGAUUGUAAAGCACUUUAAGUUGGGAGGAAGGGCAGUAAGUUAAUACCUUGCUGUUUUGACGUUACCAACAGAAUAAGCACCGGCUAACUUCGUG